Molecule: ribosomal RNA, 442 nt
Filed under: uncultured soil bacterium
Lineage: Bacteria
Description: bacterial SSU rRNA
Rfam family: Bacterial small subunit ribosomal RNA
Source: RNAcentral
AGAGUGAACGCUGGCGGUAGGCCUAACACAUGCAAGUCGAACGGCAGCACAGGAGAGCUUGCUCUCUGGGUGGCGAGUGGCGGACGGGUGAGGAAUACAUCGGAAUCUACCUUUUCGUGGGGGAUAACGUAGGGAAACUUACGCUAAUACCGCAUAAGACCUUCGGGUGAAAGCCGGGGACCUUCGGGCCUGGCGCGGAUAGAUGAGCCGAUGUCGGAUUAGCUUGUUGGCGGGGUAAAGGCUCACCAAGGCGACGAUCCGUAACUGGUCUGAGAGGAUGAUCAGUCACACUGGAACUGAGACACGGUCCAGACUCCUACGGGAGGCAGCAGGUGGGAAUAUUGGACAAGUGGGACGAAAGCCUGAUCCAGCCAUGCCGCGUGUGUGAAGAGGUCUGGAUUGUAAGCUACGUUAAGUGGAGAGGCAGUUACUAAUACGUAUC